Long non-coding RNA from Homo sapiens (human), 289 nucleotides. RefSeq lists it as uncharacterized. The transcript is spliced from 2 exons. The record is from RefSeq and is a predicted model, not a curated record. Lineage: Eukaryota; Metazoa; Chordata; Mammalia; Primates; Hominidae.
CUUCAUCAGCGACUCAUGAUGCUCAUCUCUACAGCCCAGAGGACAUUUAAAGAACUAAAUAAAGAUAUAGAAGGCGGCCCCUUCUCUCAUCAGUAAGCCUUACCAUCUAAGGGACACUCUGGACAUCGGAAGAUUCCAAGUCGUCUCUUAUGGAGGAUUCAUCUGGCGACUCAGCAGGUUAGUGAAGAAAAAGUUAGAAGAAUAUUACCCUAAAUCACGGUCAGGUGAUAAGGGUCUGCAUUAUGACAGCUGGAACUGAAGUGAAUGAAAUAAAUGUGAGCACCACAAA